Molecule: non-coding RNA, 763 nt
Filed under: Pongo abelii (Sumatran orangutan)
Lineage: Eukaryota; Metazoa; Chordata; Mammalia; Primates; Hominidae
Source: RNAcentral
GAGUCCCUGCUGGAGUCAGAAGUUUUAGGCGAAUCCCAGGCGCGCCAAGAGAAGUGCUACAAAAGCCAUCCAUCUUGCAAGCGUUGGUGCCGAGGCGCAACGCUGAGAACGCAAAUACUAAAGGGCGCUGUUCUUUCCUCGUGGAGCUCACAGUCCGCUGGGGAGACCGUGAGAUGACAGCAGAGAAACUAGGGCGAUCAGUAGUACUCAGUGCAAGGACAGCGAGCAGAGAAGGCAAACCUAGUGCUUGCUGAGGAAGACUUCACAGAGGAGGUAGUGUCAGGGCCGAGACUAGGAGAAGGAUUCUCCAGGCUUCAUAUGGUAAAACUCUCUGGGAAGGAAAGGAACUCAGAGUCCCAUGCAGAAAAUUGUUCAGCUGGAGGGGUAUCAGAAAGAUGGAUUUCCAAAGCCAACUGUUUCCUGUAGUGUGUGGAUCUCUGCAAGCAGAGCCUCAUCUUUCAAUUUCAGCUACAUGAAAGAGGAAGAAAGGGAAAGAUAUAUGUCAUACGUGAUAUACUUUAUGUGGCUUUGAAGACCCCUCUUUUGUGGGGCUACGGCUAAAGAACAUAGUUCCCUGGGAUGGAAUUGGCUCUUCCUAUAUUCCCUACUUCAUGAAAACUCCAGUAGAAGACCUUAGAACCUUGUCCUGGUUACAUGGAUAUGUUUACUUUGCGAAAAUUCAUCAAGCACUAUGCACGGUCAUGAUUUGUACAUUUUUUUGUAAGAUAACUUCAUUAAAGUUUACUUUUUUUAUUUUUAAAAA